CUUUGCGCACAUUUUGCCCUUCCUAAAUCGCCAUAAAUAAACAUGAAUUUGCUAUCAAAAUGCGCCAAAUUUCACGAAGACGUCAAAUCUGGCGGUAACUGGAGUCAAAGACCUGCGCAUAAGGUCCUAGUGCCAGUUUUCUUCAACAGACACUGCGCGCGAGGCGAAUUUCCUAUAUAAAUCAUAACAAAUAGCGCAUAAUCAAACGAAAAGUGCCCUUCGAGUUAAGUAUUAUUUUCCCAUAAAAGUACAUUCAAAAAACGUCUAAAGGCUUAUUCUUUCCUAUACCGUAGGUAACUGAACACAGAUAUAAUCGUAGAGCAAACGUAAGCGAAAAAACAUCAAAUUUGGGGGUGAUUUGUAUAGGCAUAAGUUGGAAAUAUGACACGCGCAAUACGAUAUGACUUUUUGUUAACGCAAAGUUUGAUAUGAACUGUUCACUAAAAUAAACAUGACCUCUUUCAGAAUAUUUAUAAGGAA
This is a non-coding RNA of Paramuricea clavata, 480 nucleotides long. Lineage: Eukaryota; Metazoa; Cnidaria; Anthozoa; Malacalcyonacea; Plexauridae. The record is from the annotation of a GenBank genome assembly.